GGAUCUUGCAUAAGGUGUUUGAGCAGAGAGAAAUUCAUCUCACACUGCAGCAGCAUUUUUCAGCGUUUCUUUUGAGAACGGGAAUUUUCAGAUUGCUGCUGCGGUUUCGUCCACCGUUGGAUCGGGCUAAACUUUUGUCAGCAUGUUCAUACCUCGUGGUUCUUCAAUUUGACCGUUCGGAUUGUUCAAAAGUCACUGGAACAGUGAUAUAUACGCCGUGUACGGUAACUGCAUUUUGUGAAUUUUUCAGGUUCCUUGUUCUCUGUUUUCAUCUCUGUUGUAUUGGUAUUUGGCUGGUCAUUGAGCACAAAUUGUGCUGUGAUUUGAGUCUCUUAUAACCAUAUUUUUUGAUCAUAAUGGAACCUUGAUUGACUGGCUUGUGCCCGUAGUUUUUACUUCUCACAUUGAGAAGGUUUUCCACGUUAAAAUUCUUGUGUCUUCUUGAAGUGUGUUUUGUGUUGCUGCCAUUAUUUGCUAUUGCUCCUCACAGAUUCUUGCAAGUUGGGGAAAUUGUUAUCCGCUGCAUAUUGCUCUUGUUGAGAUAUUAUUGUUAUUGUAUUGAAUUUCCCAUCAGAGUGUUAUCAGAGCUCCUUGGUUGGGGCUAUUUGACUGCUUGAAUGAUGGAGGCAAAUACAAAUAAGAUGGUUUGUUUGAACGACACUAACUAUCACUUAUGGAAGGGAAAAAUGAAGGAUCUGUUAUUUGUGAAGAAAUUGCAUCUUCCUGUGUUUGCUACUGAAAAGCCAAAAGACAAGACUGAUGAAGAAUGGAAGUUUGAGCAUCAGCAGAUUUGUGGUUUUAUUCGUCAGUAUGUUGAAGAUAAUGUUUAUAAUCACAUUGCUAAUGAGGAAGAUGCAAAAUCCUUGUGGAAGAAGAUUGAGACUUUGUAUGUUUCUAGUACAGGAAACAAUAAAUUAUAUUUGUUGAAUUCCUUGAUGAAUUUGAGGUACAAGGAGGGGAUUUCUAUUUCAGAUCACUUAAAUGAUUUUCAGGGGUUCCGAGAUCAAUUGUCUCAAAUGGGCAUCAAAUUUGAUGAUGAAGUGUUGGGACUAUGGCUACUGAAUACUCUACCAGACUCUUGGGAAACAUUUCGGAUUUCAAUUACAAACUCAUCUCCUGAUGGUGUUGUCUCCUUGGAAAAUGUUAAGAGUAGUGUUCUUAAUGAGGAGAUGAGAAGGAAGGCUCAUGGUACUUCAUCUCUUUCCGAGGUACUCUUCACUGAAAAUAGGGGGAGAAGUCAGAAAAAGGAACCGAAAGGGAGUAAACAAAGUAGCAUAAGUAAGUCCAAGUCCAGAUACAAAAAUGUGGAGUGCCAUUAUUGUCACAAAGCAGGGCACAUUCAGAGAAACUGUUUUCUUUGGAAAAAGGAGAACAAGGAUAAGAAAGGGAAGCAGAAGGAGAAACAUCAUGACAAUGAUGAUCGUGUUACUACUGUUAUUUCUGAUGAUGAUCUUAUUAUUCUCCGUGACCAUGAUUCAGUUAAUCUUGUAUCAGAUGAGAACAUGUGGAUAAUUGACAGUGGUGCUACAUUGCAUGUUACACCAAGGAAGGAGUUCUUCACAUCUUACACUUCUGGUGAUUUUGGAGUGUUAAAGAUGGGUAAUGAUGGUGUGUCUAAGGUAAUUGGUAUUGGUGAUGUUUGCUUGCAAACCAAUAUGGGAAUGCAGUUGUUGCUUAGAGGAGUCAAACAUGCUCCAGAUGUCCGCUUUAAUUUGCUUUCUGUGCAGAUGCUUGAUGAUAGUGGUUUUGAAAAUCACUUUGGUUUAGGAAAGUGGAAACUCUCCAGAGGUAAUCUCAUCGUGGCCAAAGGGGAGAGAAUCAGUAAACUAUAUUGGACAAAAGCAUUGGUUGCUAAAGACAGUGUGAACGCCAUGGAUAUGGACGCUUCUUUGUGGCACCGAAGGCUUAGUCAUAUCAGUGAGAAGGGGCUAAAUUGUUUAGCUAAAAAGGAUGUGCUUUCGGGAUUGAAGAGUACAGAGUUGGAGAAAUGUUCUCAUUGUAUGGCUGGUAAGCAGACUAGAGUAUCCUUCAAGAAGCAUCCUCCCUCAAAGAAGUCAGAGUUACUUGAAUUGGUGCAUUUUGAUGUUUGUGGCCCAUUGAAGGUAAAGUCAUUUACUGGUGCACUUUAUUUUGUUACCUUUAUUGAUGAUUGUUCCAGGAAGCUUUGGGUUUAUGCUUUGAAGACAAAGGACCAAGUUCUAGAGAAAUUCAAAGAAUUUCAUGUUUUGGUCGAGAGACAGUCAGGCAAGAAGCUGAAAUGCAUUCAUACUGACAAUGGUGGUGAGUAUUGUGGACCGUUCGAUGCUUAUUGCAAGCAACACGGUAUCAGACAUGAAAAGACUCCUCCUAAAACUCCUCAGUUGAGUGGCUUAGCAGAAAGGAUAAACAGGACACUGAUAGAAAGAGUCAGGUGUAUGCUUUCUGAAGCAAAGUUGCCUAAGCACUUUUGGGGUGAGGCAUUGUACACUGUAGUGCAUGUUAUUAAUUUAAGUCCUGUAGUUGCUUUGAAUGCUGAGGUGCUAGACAAGGUUUGGUUUGGCAAGAAUGUCAAGUAUGAUCAUUUGCGAGUCUUCAGUUGUAAAGCAUAUGUGCAUGUUCCUAAGGAUGAAAGAUCCAAGUUGGACGCGAAGACAAGGCAGUGCAUCUUCAUUGGUUAUGGUCAGGAUGAAUUUGGCUACAAGUUCUUUGAUCCGGUUGAAAAGAAGGCAGUGAGAAGCCGUGAUGUGAAGUUCAUGGAAGAUCAAACCAUUGAAGAUAUUGAUAAGACAGAGAAGACAACAUCUGAGACAGAUAAUAGAUUGUCUAAUGUCGAUCCAGUUCUGAGUGAUGAACAACAUGAUGAUGUUGAUGAUCAGCAACUUGGAGAUGCUUUUGAUGUUCCUAUUGAUGACACUGAAGAGGAACAUGGGAUGUCACAAGACGAGGAUCUUGGUGAUGCUCCUGAACCACCUCAAGUUCAAAUUCGGAGGUCUAAUAGGCAGAGGGAACCAUCUACUAGGUAUCCUUCUGAUGACUAUGUUACCUUGACGGAUGAAGGAGAACCGGAGUGCUAUCGUGAAGCCAUGGAGAGUGAAGAAAAGAAAAAGUGUCUGGAUGCAAUGCAAGAUGAAAUGAAGUUCUUGCAUGAUAAUCACACUUUUGACUUGGUGAAAUUGCCAAAAGACAAGAAAGCUCUUGAAAACAGGUGGAUUUACAAGGUAAAGCAAGAAAGCAAUUCCACAUCUCCAAGGUAUAAAGCCAGAUUGGUAGUGAAAGGCUUUAGACAGAGAAAAGGCAUUGAUUUCAAUGAGAUUUUAUCUCCUGUGGUGAAGAUGUCAUCCAUUAGAAUUGUGCUGAGUUUGGCUGCUACUCUUGAUUUAGAGGUAGAACAAAUGAAUGUUAAAACUGCUUUCCUUCAUGGUGAUUUGGAGGAAGAGAUUUACAUGAAGCAACCUGAUGGUUUUCUUGUUGAAGGCAAGGAAAAUCAUGUGUGUAGGCUGAGAAAAAAGUCUAUAUGGCUUGAAGCAAGCUCCUCGUCAAUGGUACAAGAAGUUUGAGUCUGUUAUGUGUGAGCAAGGCUACAAGAAGACUACUUCUGAUCAUUGUGUGUUUGUUAAAAAAUUUGCUAAUGAUGAUUUCAUUAUCCUGUUGUUGUAUGUUGAUGACAUGCUUAUUGUUGGGAAAUAUAUUUCCAUGAUCAACAGGUUGAAGAAGCAAUUGAAUGAGUCAUUUGCUAUGAAAGACAUGGGAGCUGCUAAGCAAAUUCUUGGUAUAAGAAUCAUGCGUGAUAGGCAAGAGAAGAAGCUUUGGUUGUCACAGGAGAACUAUGUUAAAAGAGUGCUACAGAGGUUCCAGAUGGAAAAUGAUAAGGUGGUAAGCACUCCUCUUGCUACCCAUUUUAAAUUGAGUACAAAACAAAGUCCUUCUGAUGAAUAUGAAAAGUCAGAUAUGCAACGGGUUCCUUAUGCAUCUGCUGUGGGUAGCUUGAUGUGUGCAAUGGUGUGUACAAGACCAGAUAUUGCACAUGUUGUUGGUACAGUCAGUAGAUUUAUGUCUAAUCCAGGUAGAGAGCAUUGGAAUGCUGUGAAAUGGAUUUUAAGGUAUCUUUGUGGUACNNNNNNNNNNNNNNNNNNNNNNNNNNNNNNNNNNNNNNNNNNNNNNNNNNNNNNNNNNNNNNNNNNNNNNNNNNNNNNNNNNNNNNNNNNNNNNNNNNNNGAUAAGCCUACCCUUGUAGGUUACACUGAUUCUGAUAUGGGUGGAGACAUAGACUCUAGAAGGUCUACCUCAGGCUACGUGAUUAAAUUUGCAGGUGGAGCUGUGGCAUGGCAAUCCAGAUUACAGAAGUGUGUUGCAUUGUCCACUACUGAGGCAGAGUUCAUUGCCAUUACAGAAGCAUGCAAGGAGUUGUUGUGGGUGAAGAAACUCCUGCAAGAGCUUAGUUUUGUUCAAGACAAGUACUUGCUAUUUUUUGAUAGUCAGAGUACAAUUUAUCUUGGUAAGAAUUCAACUUUCUAUUCUAGGUCCAAGCAUAUUGAUGUGAGGUAUCAUUGGAUACGCGAUGCUUUGGAAGCUGGGUUACUGGAGUUGGCAAAAGUUCAUACAGAUGAUAAUUGUGCUGAUAUGAUGACAAAGUCACUACCGAGGAGCAAGUCUGAAACUUGUUGCAAGAUUGCCGGUUUGGCAAUCAUCUCCACAUAGUUGUGAGGGGAAGAUUUGUUGGAUUUGGGCUCACUUCCUACGUGGAGGCCCAACCCACAGUAAAAUUAGGUUAGGUCUAUUUUGCUUCUCAUUCUUUCAAUGGAUGAGUGAGUACAGUCAAGGUGCAAUAGAGAGAGCAAAGAGCCAUCUAGAAACUCUUGGAGAGAGCCAACAGUGUGCCAUCCAUAGAGAGUGAUAUAGAGAGUGAAAUAGAGAGUGAUAGUGAAACAGAGAAAAGGAGAAAGUUUUGUCAGAAACUUCCGACCACCGCCGCCGAUUUGUUCACCGUUGGAUCUAGCUGAAACUUUGUCAUCAGGUUCAUACUGUGUGUAACUUCAAUCUGACCGUUCGGAUCUUGCAUAAGGUGUUUGAGCAGAGAGAAAUUCAUCUCACACUGCAGCAGCAUUUUUCAGCGUUUCUUUUGAGAACGGGAAUUUUCAGAUUGCUGCUGCGGUUUCGUCCACCGUUGGAUCGGGCUAAACUUUUGUCAGCAUGUUCAUACCUCGUGGUUCUUCAGUUUGACCGUUCGGAUUGUUCAAAAGUCACUGGAACAGUGACAUAUACGCCGUGUACGGUAACUGCAGUUUGUGAAUUUUUCAGGUUCCUUGUUCUCUGUUUUCA
This 5298-nucleotide long non-coding RNA is filed under the name Phaseolus vulgaris (common bean). RNAcentral's name for it is "long non-coding RNA (PVUL_LNC003122)". Lineage: Eukaryota; Viridiplantae; Streptophyta; Magnoliopsida; Fabales; Fabaceae. The record is from RNAcentral.